RNAcentral lists this ribosomal RNA (253 nucleotides) under uncultured bacterium. Its description in RNAcentral is "partial 16S ribosomal RNA". It matches the Rfam family "Bacterial small subunit ribosomal RNA", at positions 524 to 776 of the family's 1533-position model. The record is from RNAcentral.
UACGGGGGGUGCGAGCGUUGUCCGGAAUCACUGGGCGUAAAGCGUGCGCAGGCGGUCCGCUAAGACAGAUGUGAAAUCCCCGGGCUUAACCUGGGAACUGCAUUUGUGACUGGCGGGCUAGAGUAUGGCAGAGGGGGGUAGAAUUCCACGUGUAGCAGUGAAAUGCGUAGAGAUGUGGAGGAAUACCGAUGGCGAAGGCAGCCCCCUGGGCCAAUACUGACGCUCAUGCACGAAAGCGUGGGGAGCAAACAGG